CGCUUUGGCCGAGUGGUUAAGGC
This 23-nucleotide non-coding RNA is filed under the name Arabidopsis thaliana (thale cress). Lineage: Eukaryota; Viridiplantae; Streptophyta; Magnoliopsida; Brassicales; Brassicaceae. The record is from RNAcentral.